CGGGGUGCAGCAGGCGCGAAAACUUUGCAAUGCGGGAAACCGUGACAAGGGAACUCUGAGUGCCCGUAAAAUCGGGCUGUCCAUCGGUUUAAAAAACCGGUGAAGAAAGGGCCGGGCAAGACCGGUGCCAGCCGCCGCGGUAAUACCGGCGGCUCGAGUGGUGGCCACUAUUACUGGGCUUAAAGCGUUCGUAGCUGGUUUGUUAAGUCUCUGGGGAAAUCUUCCGGCUUAACCGGAAGGCGUCUCAGGGAUACUGGCAGACUAGGGACCGGGAGAGGUGAGAGGUACUCCAGGGGUAGGAGUGAAAUCCUGUAAUCCUUGGGGGACCACCUGUGGCGAAGGCGUCUCACCAGAACGGCUCCGACAGUGAGGGACGAAAGCUGGGGGAGCAAACCGGAUUAGAUACCCGGGUAGUCCCAGCUGUAAACGAUGCGCGUUAGGUGUAUCAGUGACCACGAGUCACUGAGGUGCCGAAGAGAAAUCGUGAAACGUGCCGCCUGGGAAGUACGGUCGCAAGGCGGAAACUUAAAGGAAUUGGCGGGGGAGCACAAGGGCGAUUCGCGG
This 564-nucleotide ribosomal RNA is filed under the name uncultured archaeon. Its description in RNAcentral is "bacterial SSU rRNA". It matches the Rfam family "Archaeal small subunit ribosomal RNA", at positions 326 to 900 of the family's 1478-position model. The record is from RNAcentral.